RNAcentral lists this ribosomal RNA (400 nucleotides) under uncultured bacterium. RNAcentral's name for it is "bacterial SSU rRNA". It matches the Rfam family "Bacterial small subunit ribosomal RNA", at positions 356 to 773 of the family's 1533-position model. The record is from RNAcentral.
GGGGGAUAUUGCACAAUGGAGGAAACUCUGAUGCAGCAACGCCGCGUGAGGGAUGAAGGUCUUCGGAUUGUAAACCUUUGUCCUCGGUGACGAUAAUGACGGUAGCCGAGGAGGAAGCUCCGGCUAACUACGUGCCGGCAGCCGCGGUAAUACGUAGGGAGCAAGCGUUGUCCGGAUUUACUGGGUGUAAAGGGUGCGUAGGCGGCUAUGCAAGUCAGUUGUGAAAACUAUGGGCUCAACCCAUAGCCUGCAAUUGAAACUGCGUGGCUUGAGUGAAGUAGAGGUAGGUGGAAUUCCCGGUGUAGCGGUGAAAUGCGUAGAGAUCGGGAGGAACACCAGUGGCGAAGGCGAUCUGCUGGGCUUUAACUGACGCUGAGGCACGAAAGCAUGGGUAGCAAAC